RNAcentral lists this ribosomal RNA (492 nucleotides) under uncultured bacterium. RNAcentral describes it as "partial 16S ribosomal RNA". It matches the Rfam family "Bacterial small subunit ribosomal RNA", at positions 29 to 507 of the family's 1533-position model. The record is from RNAcentral.
AGUGAACGCUGGCGGUAGGCCUAACACAUGCAAGUCGAACGGCAGCACAGUAAGAGCUUGCUCUUACGGGUGGCGAGUGGCGGACGGGUGAGGAAUACAUCGGAAUCUACUUUUUCGUGGGGGAUAACGUAGGGAAACUUACGCUAAUACCGCAUACGACCUACGGGUGAAAGCAGGGGAUCUUCGGACCUUGCGCGAUUGAAUGAGCCGAUGUCGGAUUAGCUAGUUGGCGGGGUAAAGGCCCACCAAGGCGACGAUCCGUAGCUGGUCUGAGAGGAUGAUCAGCCACACUGGAACUGAGACACGGUCCAGACUCCUACGGGAGGCAGCAUUGGGGAAUAUUGGACAAAGGGCGCAAGCCUGAUCCAGCCAUACCGCGUGGGUGAAGAAGGCCUUCGGGUUGUAAAGCCCUUUUGUUGGGAAAGAAAAGCAGCAGGUUAAUACCCCGCUGUUCUGACGGUACCCAAAGAAUAAGCACCGGCUAACUUCGUG